Ribosomal RNA from Marchantia polymorpha subsp. polymorpha, 80 nucleotides. It matches the Rfam family "Eukaryotic large subunit ribosomal RNA", at positions 24 to 103 of the family's 3401-position model. The record is from Rfam. Lineage: Eukaryota; Viridiplantae; Streptophyta; Marchantiopsida; Marchantiales; Marchantiaceae.
CCCGCUGAGUUUAAGCAUAUCACUAAGCGGAGGAAAAGAAACUAACAAGGAUUCCCCUAGUAGCGGCGAGCGAACCGGGA